This 352-nucleotide long non-coding RNA is filed under the name Polistes fuscatus (common paper wasp). RNAcentral's name for it is "uncharacterized LOC122523674". The record is from RNAcentral. Lineage: Eukaryota; Metazoa; Arthropoda; Insecta; Hymenoptera; Vespidae.
ACCCCUACCUACUAUACUCACCGUUUCCUGCGCUUCUCUCUACGAACCAGCGAAUAACCUUAGUUACUUUGCUCGACUGUUAGGUUCCUGAAGCUGAGGCUGAAGUAGGAAACUCUCCGUUCCUAGGAGAGUCCUAGGAGCCGAUAUAACUUUGUUCCUGGGGGUGCAGUACUGCUUCACGAAGUCGGCCCUCGAUCCUACGGCCACCUCACUCGCUCACUCACUCACUCUAAGAAGGAUGACGAUGAUGGCGAAUCUUCUCAACGAGCCUCUCUCCACGCAUGUUUUUACAAUGUGUGUUUUUGAAAAAGUUAAGAAAAUAUAUCAUCUUUUCUUUUCUAGAGAAACUUAA